GAAAUGCGAUAAGUAAUGUGAAUUGCAGAAUUCAGUAAAUCAUCGAAUCUUUGAACGCACCUUGCGCUCCUUGGUAUUCCUUGGAGCAUGCCUGUUUGAGUAUCAUGAAAUCUUCAAAGUAAAUCUUUUGUUAACUCAAUUGGUUUCUACUUUGGUAUUGGAGGUCUUUGCAGCUUCACACCUGCUCCUCUUUGUUCAUUAGCUGGAUCUCAGUGUUAUGCUUGGUUCCACUUGGCGUGAUAAGUUAUCUAUCGCUGAGGACACUGUAAAAGGUGGCCAAGGUAAAUGCAGAUGAACCGCUUCUAAUAGUCCAUUGACUUGGACAAUACUUUUAUGAUCUGAUCUCAAAUCAGGUAGGACUACCCGCUGAACUUAAGC
Molecule: unclassified non-coding RNA, 378 nt
Filed under: plant metagenome
Description: partial contains 5.8S ribosomal RNA, internal transcribed spacer 2, and large subunit ribosomal RNA
Rfam family: 5.8S ribosomal RNA (bases 1-105)
Source: RNAcentral